GGCGGAGCUUCCCGAGGGCGGGAGCCAAUGAGAGCCUUUUACCGGCCGCAUGCGGAUGACGACACCGCCUAGCGUGGGCUGGUGGAGAGGGAGGGGGCAGAGCGAGCGCGCGGGGGAGCAAGUUGACAGCCAAUGGCUGCAAAGCGCUUCUAGAUCGCCUGCAUGUUUUGCGCGCGAAGGCAGGGGCGUUGCUGUGCGGGCGUCCAAUGGGAUCGCAGGGCCGGCAGCUCGUUUGCAGGGCGCGCGGCUUGCUGCAGAUGGAGGGGAAGGCAAAAUGGCGGCGACAGGCGGUGGGGGGGCGGUCGCUGCCCCCGAGCAUAGAAGGCGGGUUUGGGGGAUAGCAGCCUCAACCCUGCGGCAGUGCCGUGCCUGGGAGCGGCGUCACCGUCACCGUUUCCCGGCUUUAUUCUGUGUGAACGCAGUGAGCCCGCCGGCUGCAAAUGCACGGAGCGCACCCUGAGAUCCUGCAGGAAAGGGGAGGGAGGGAGCGCAGCACCGCGGCUGUGCUGUCAGCUCGUAGGUGGGGAUGGAUUUAGGAACACAAAGGCGGGGAGACCUCGGAAAGGGAGCAGCGCCCCGUGCUUGUAAAGAUAAGGGGCACGAACCGCCCUCCCCGUGCUGAGCAGGGCUGGAAUGCAACGGCCGCUCCACCCAGUGCAGAGUGCGGCUCAGCUCCGUGCUCUGCCGGCUCACACCCAGCGCUGGCUGCUCGCAGGGGCUGCAUGGGCAGCUGUGUGCUUUUUCCUUCUUUGUGAAGCACGAGCAGACCGUGAGUAGGACCUAAGAAUAGUCCUGCUGGCACUUGGGAAUUAAACAACGGCAUUCCGAUAUGCAGUCGUGCUUUGCACAAUGGGUGCACGGCAGGGGAAGGCAGCCCGGAGCGGCAGUGAGUCAGUGCAGGGAGGAGAGCUCCGGCCAAUGAGUCACUGCGUUAGAAAUUAAAGGCUGUUAACACACUUGGCUGAAAUAACCCAUUUACAGUACAGUGGAAAAACGAAGGCCCGGCAGUCUGGACGAUGCUUUCCCUCCCCCGCCCCAAGUGAUGAAUCCCAACGUUACUUUCUGAAGCCAGUUUGGUGCGUUGCGGCUCAAGAGAAGUGAGCAGAGCGAGGACUUGAGGACUAUCAGAAGCUCGCUCCCCAUUGGUGAUAACGGCAGUUUUUACUUCAGAUCUGCACACCCUGAAGUUUGAAAGCGAUGCAUUUCUAAUGCGGCCCUUCCCUUCCCCCUCCCCCCCCCGUGCAGUGGUACAAACUGAUCCUGGUUAAAAAUAACCCCCAGAUUCCUGAUAGUGAACAAAAAGAGGCAAUUGCACAACUCCUCUUCCAACCGUACCGCCUCAUCAGGAUUUGGGAUGUCAUCAACUCAGGAGCGAGCAGCAGCGUGGCCGUUCCCCAUCAAUCAGGGACAGGCAGAAGGACACACCUAUGAGACCACUGCUGUCAUGAUGGUGUAAAUACUGCCUAAUUAUGUUGCAACCUCUACUCCCAGAUUUCUGUAGAGAAGACUGCUGAUGUUGUGUGAUCUCUUUGCAAAACGCCCACGGGGGAAAGAAGGCUGAAACCACCGCAAGAGAAAUGAACCAGAGCCAUACUGAGUUAGCCUGAGUUCCACCCACAUCCCUGUGACUGGAGAUUCCUGUUAGCUGGUUGGAAGUGUUUAUCUGCAGCCAAAAUCUCAGCCGUCUGAACCCCGCUCUUGGUUGUUCAAGGUUUCGUCGCCAUUUCAUGCACAGCUCCGGAGAUGGAGCUGCAAGGCACAGGGUGCUUCAGCAGCAAGCUGGUGUAUGUGGGAGUAGGAGAGCUGGGAGAUGUUUAUCAGUGCUGUGUCUGCACUGGCAGCGUUUACCACAUUAGCCUGCAGCACCUAUGUCUGCAGCCAUAACAUCUCAGCCCCCAGAAGUAUUUCCCUAGAAGGCUGAAUGCAGAAAAAAGGCAAGCAUGUGUCAGGUCCAUUCAAGGUUGACCACCAGAGCACCCUCAGCAGACAGAUUGCUUCAAAAUCUUCAGCCUCACCACCAGGAACAGGAGGCAGAGUCCCAC
This 2042-nucleotide long non-coding RNA is filed under the name Gallus gallus (chicken). Lineage: Eukaryota; Metazoa; Chordata; Aves; Galliformes; Phasianidae. The record is from RNAcentral.